UGUAACUUGCUUGAAAAGCUGGC
RNAcentral lists this non-coding RNA (23 nucleotides) under Rattus norvegicus (Norway rat). Lineage: Eukaryota; Metazoa; Chordata; Mammalia; Rodentia; Muridae. The record is from RNAcentral.